Long non-coding RNA from Plodia interpunctella (Indianmeal moth), 400 nucleotides. RefSeq lists it as uncharacterized. The record is from RefSeq and is a predicted model, not a curated record. NCBI's taxonomy places the organism in Eukaryota, Metazoa, Arthropoda, Insecta, Lepidoptera, Pyralidae. The transcript has 2 exons.
GCCCUGUCUGUUGUUUACUCUAGAUAGCUAGAUUGGGUAGAUACAUUCUUACUUAAGUAGAAGGCAAGUACCUAGUUACUUGUUAGACUAGCGACUAAAGUAUCUCAGAGGUUUGUCUAUAAAAAUCGGAUUAUCUACUACUGUAGCUUUAUAUUUAAUGGGCCUGCUGAGCCUAUUAAAUUGUCAAGAUAUUUAGAUCAAUACGUUAUUAAGCGGCUCGUUGAGUUUCGAGACUAACACAUCCAUUUUAUAACAAAGCAGUAGUUUCCUGGCCAAUAUGAUAUUAAAUUCACAUUUACGAAGAAAACAGAAGUUAACGAUGGAAAGACUUUUUGAAUACUAAAACUUUACUGAAUUUACCAACCAAAUCGAAGAGACUGACGGGCCUUAUGAUCCUUGG